AGAUUGAACGCUGGCGGAAUGCUUUACACAUGCAAGUCGAACGGCAGCACGGGACUCAGGCAACUGAGCCCUGGUGGCGAGUGGCGAACGGGUGAGUAACAUAUCGGAACGUACCCAGUCGUGGGGGAUAACUCUCCGAAAGGAGAGCUAAUACCGCAUACGUCCUGAGGGAGAAAGCGGGGGACCUGCAAGGGCCUCGCGCGAUUGGAGCGGCCGAUAUCGGAUUAGCUAGUUGGUGGGGUAAAGGCUCACCAAGGCGACGAUCCGUAGCGGGUCUGAGAGGACGACCCGCCACACUGGGAACCUGAGACACGGUCCAGACUCUACGGAGGCAGCAGUGGGAAUUUGGACAAUGGGGGCAACCCUGAUCCAGCCAUUCCGCGUGAGUGAAGAGCC
RNAcentral lists this ribosomal RNA (396 nucleotides) under uncultured soil bacterium. RNAcentral describes it as "bacterial SSU rRNA". It matches the Rfam family "Bacterial small subunit ribosomal RNA", at positions 26 to 414 of the family's 1533-position model. The record is from RNAcentral.